Molecule: ribosomal RNA, 205 nt
Filed under: uncultured prokaryote
Description: partial 16S ribosomal RNA
Rfam family: Bacterial small subunit ribosomal RNA
Source: RNAcentral
AGAUUGAACGCUAGCGGCAUGCCUAACACAUGCAAGUCGGAACGGUAACAGGCCCUUCGGGGUGCUGACGAGUGGACGGACGGGUGAGUAAUGCGUAGGAAUCUACCCACGAGUAGGGGGAUAGCCCGGAGAAAUCCGGAUUAAUACCGCAUAUGACCCGUACGGGGUAAAGCGGGGGAAUCGUAAGACCUCGCGCUGGUGGAUG